CCUACGGGAGGCAGCAGUGGGGAAUAUUGCACAAUGGGCGAAAACCUGAUGCAGCAACGCCGCGUGAGCGAUGAAGGCCUUCUGGUCGUAAAGCUCUGUCCUCAAGGAAGAUAAUGACGGUACUUGAGGAGGAAGCCCCGGCUAACUACGUGCCAGCAGCCGCGGUAAUACGUAGGGGGCUAGCGUUAUCCGGAAUUACUGGGCGUAAGGGGGGUGUAGGUGGUUUCUUAGGUCAGAGGUGAAAGGUUACGGGUCAACCGUAGUAAGCCUUUGAAACUGGCGAACUUGAGUGCAGUAGAGGAGAGUGGAAUUCGUAGUGUAGCGGUGAAAUGCGUAGAUAUUAGGAGGAACACCAGUUGCGAAGGCGGCUUUCUGGACUGUAACUGACACUGAGGCACGAAAGCGUGGGGAGCAAACAGGAUUAGAUACCCCGGUAGUC
This 439-nucleotide ribosomal RNA is filed under the name uncultured bacterium. Its description in RNAcentral is "partial 16S ribosomal RNA". It matches the Rfam family "Bacterial small subunit ribosomal RNA", at positions 338 to 795 of the family's 1533-position model. The record is from RNAcentral.